AACUUUCGGCACGAGGCUCGGACGCAGGCUGUUCGAUACUACUUAGCACAGACUGGUAUUAGGAGGAGAAAAGAGAAGUGCCGGGACAAGUAUCUGAGUAAGGAGAAGUACAUGAAGGUGCCCCCGAGAUGGUGUGCGGACAAGAUGGACUGCUGGGAGGCGUUGGUGGAUGAGUGGUGCUCUCCCCAAUGGCGCGUCGCCCACAACAUUGCAAAGGAGAAGCGUCUCAAAAUGAAAGGUGUGCCACACCAUCUAGGCAGCGUCAACCUACAUGGGUACGGGAAAAACUGGUCAAAACACAACAAGGCUCCAGUGCCAGAGCUGUUCGACCU
Triticum urartu is the source of this 332-nucleotide non-coding RNA. Lineage: Eukaryota; Viridiplantae; Streptophyta; Magnoliopsida; Poales; Poaceae. The record is from RefSeq and is a predicted model, not a curated record.